Long non-coding RNA from Leguminivora glycinivorella, 1730 nucleotides. RefSeq lists it as uncharacterized. Lineage: Eukaryota; Metazoa; Arthropoda; Insecta; Lepidoptera; Tortricidae. The transcript has 3 exons. The record is from RefSeq and is a predicted model, not a curated record.
AUUAUGGUCUGUCAUUAAAUAUAUCUCUAUCGUCUACCGAAGGUGGAAUUAUAUUGUAGCUCAAAGCAUACUAAAGUUAUAAAUCGGGGUUUAAUAAAAUGAACGCGUCGAUAGAUAAAUGAUAAGUGUGUGAGUGACCACUAUUGUCUUUUAUAAAAAUCCAUUCAAUAGCUGCCUUUAUUUCGUUGCGGAAUGUGUUUUGGAACAAUAAAAUGCACGGAUUUUUCAAAUUGACAGCUGUGACACCUGUCAAAGUUUGAUUUGACAUAUUGACAAAUGUCACAUACACCCGAAAAACAUAGAAGUCAAAGAUGAAAGUAAGUUGUGUGUUGUAAAAACUAAAGGAAUUCCACCAAAAAUGUUGAUGCAAGACGGACAAGCGGGCAGGAGAAUGAUAGUGAAAUAUUUAAGAGGAUACGUACCCGGGAGCACAAACGUUUACGAUAAUAUCGUUAUCUCUAUCGCUCUUCAAUAUUGGCGCGACAGAGCCAGACUGUGUUUCAAUCGGCGUCUAGCGACGGCGAAUUUCCUCUGAGCAAUUCAGUCAGGGUAUGCUGCAAACAUACCAAGGAGCCAACAAGGAAUGUUGCCUAGGCUUGCCGCGAGAGAUGUGAAAUGCCAUGACACAGACAAAUUUUAAGUGGGCAUGAUAUAUAAUUAUAUACUCAACAACAGCGGGCACUACAAGGCUCUGGCAUAGAGUACCUAGAGCAUGGAAUGAGUCAUGGUAUAUUAGAAAACACUGAAGAUGUCGAGGAAAUACAAGAAGUUGAUGUCGAUCUAAUCAGAGAUAUUAAUUAUUAGAAAUGAAUGUAUUUGAAAUACAAAUAUAAAAUACCUAUUUUCAAUUUUAAAUACUUUUAUCAAAAACUAUUUUGCAUUUUAUUUCAAAUACUAUAAAGUGGAUGUGUUUUGCAUUUUUUUAAACUUUAAAAUACAAAAUUCUUUUUUCACCACACCAACUGGUAGAAGCUCUCUUCAUUCUCCAAAAAACGGAUGAGAAAGUUGAAUUUUAUCCGCAAGAUUGCAAAGUUGUUUCAUACAGACUUUAACUUGUCCUAAGCUGGCUGGUAGAUUUUGCCUUUUAAGUAGGUAUGGUGUUUUUGAAUCAUAUCAUACCUACUCGCAUAUGUUUAAUAAAUUGAUGAUUUUGAUUUAGGUACAGUUAGUAUUUUCCUCGUAUUGCUGUGGUGAAAAAACUGGUGUUUCCCUCGGGGCAAAAUUUGUAUAACCAUUGUGCCUUGAAACCCUCGCAACGCUCAAAACUAAUAGAGCUGCACCUAAGAAAGGUUACUUGUUAGAUUAGUUUGUUUGUUUUUGCACUUCUUCGUUACUUUAUAUAAACUGUAUUAAGUUGUGACAAUAAAGAUUAUUAAUUCAAUAUUUUUAUACGACAUACAUAAAAAAUAUGGAAAUAUAUGGAGAAUGGCUCUAAUUUCCAGUUAUCUGAACUUGUGAAAGUUUUAACAGUGUAGAACUUAAUUUCAAUGACCGAAGAGCUGGCGACUUCCUCACACAACUUAUCAGCAUUGCGGUACAGCGAGGGAUACAAUGCCUUAAGGGCCUAUUUUAGACAUUAGAUUUAGACAAAGAUUAUGUACAUUUCUACGAUGAAAAAUAGUGUACAAAUGUCAGUAAUAAAUGGUACCUAUUUUCUUUAAUUUAUAUUUUUCUGGGUUUUGUAACACAACAGUACAGUACAUUUUAACUCAGAACCCAUAUACAAAUGU